Molecule: long non-coding RNA, 273 nt
Filed under: Carica papaya (papaya)
Lineage: Eukaryota; Viridiplantae; Streptophyta; Magnoliopsida; Brassicales; Caricaceae
Description: long non-coding RNA (CPAP_LNC016421)
Source: RNAcentral
AUUUUUUGGCCCCCCGAGGGCCCUAGGGUUGUUUUAUCGCAGGGACCGAUGCAAGUGUGGCCGAAUUCGGCCGAAAACGGCCAACCCGAGGCGAAUCGCCGCCGCCGGAGCACGGCGGAGCCGCCAUGCCAGAAUUGCGAUAUUGGCCGAAAGGGGCCCUGGGCCUAAUUUGGGAAUUUUUGGAACACGUGCAGGUACCAGUAGUGCGUUUCAGUUCCCUGGGAAAAAUUCAGAGAAAAUUAAGGACAGCCUGUAGGCGCACUGUGAAGCCGU